GUAGGUAUAACGCCGAUGACAGUUUAUUUGGACAGAUUUUGAUACGAAAAUCUUCAAUCUGGAAAUUAUUUAUGCGUGUUACCUAUUUAAUUCGUAUGAAAGAUGUUUUUUAGUUCUCGAAUGAAGCUAAGUUAGUAAAUCAUAAAAUAUGUAUGCAUACGAAUUAAACGCGUUAAAUAAUGGCAUCAAAAUCGACCCUUUGACACCUACUGUAAGAUAUUUUAAACAUGCCUGGAUGGUUUUUAGAGUAUUUUUUUUGUUUUUAUCCUUACGAAAGGACACUGAAUUCGUUCAACCACCCUGAACUCUUGAGAAAUUAAAUAGUCGUUAGAAAGCGAGGUCGGGAUUUUCUUUUUUUCUUUUUUUUUCUUUCCUGUUGUGAAGUGAGACAUUCUAGUUACCUGGCGAGACAAAUGGGAUGCUUACGCUGGACAGUCUAUUGCAAACAGUCGUAGAAUCAGCUAACUUGAUUUUGGCCAGAAGUUAUUGCAAAAUCCUGUUGCUGUUGUCGAGAUAUCGAUUCCUUGUUUUGCUAACUUUCGAACAUUGGAACUCUUUGUCCGGUCGUUGCCUAACAGUUUUAAAUAUUUAUAGCGUAACGUGUAACAAAAAAAUAAUUAUUCAAUUUUUGCAUAAUCUGUUUACUUUUAUAAACGUGUAUUAAUAGUAUUUUAGCUGGAAACUGUUAAGAUAUAUAUAAAAAUAAAAACUUUCUUUUUUCCUUAAAGAAAGCAUUUGUUAAUAUAAUUUGACC
RNAcentral lists this long non-coding RNA (754 nucleotides) under Androctonus crassicauda. Lineage: Eukaryota; Metazoa; Arthropoda; Arachnida; Scorpiones; Buthidae. The record is from RNAcentral.